GCCCCACAGUGGGGAUUGAGCCCGCAACCCGGGUAUGUGCCCUGACCAGGAAUUGAACUGUGACCUCCUAGUUCAUAGAUCGAUGCUCAACCACUGAGCCACACUGGCCAAAGUAUCUACAUUUAAAGAGGCUAGUGUUCAUUUGCACUUACGAAUUCUGGUGUGUUCAUUUAAAAAUCAGUCUUAUAAUUUGAAACCUGGUUUGUAUACAUGUACAUAGAAUGUUGGGGGAGGUCUUAGCAAUCCAUUCUCACCUUUUUGCCAAUCGGGGUGAAAGUUCAGAUAAUUUUUUACUCAAAGUCAGAAUGAUACUUAUAAAGUUGAGAAGUAAGAUAAUUAUUUUUUUGCUACUCCACAUUGUCUCCAAGCUUCAAUGGUUUUAUAUCCAUUUACUUAGCAAAUAAUAUUGUCUAAUGGGAGACACUGUACCAGGUCCUGGCAAUACUCAGUCCCUGUUGAGAGGGGAUACAGGCAAGGAAGCUGGCAGUUACAACAGAGUGAACUAGGCGACACAGGAGCCUGUGGAACCAUGGAAGAGGCUGUAUUCUUUCUCACCUUCAACCACCCCAUCAUCCAAGCCAGAGAUGCUUGGCUGCAGAGCCAGAGCCUGCUUCAGGAAGGGAGCCUUAGCAUAUUUACCCUGACAUGUCUGAAUUGAGUGUGGCGGACAGGGAGAAAUCUAGCAAAGCUUGUUUGUCGGACUCCCCUCUGUGUCCCAUUGUUUCUGGCACAUUUGUUGCCCACAUGUUUGCUCUCUCUCAUCCACCAGUGAGUUGCCCACUUUCCCUCUGAAGUCCCAGACCCCUGCCCCCCUUCUUAGUCCAGAUGGCAUAGAAGACUCGACUGCCCAAUGCGACCUCGGGUCUCAUUCUUAGGAAACCCCUGCAUGUACAUAUGUAAUAAAUUUUAAACAUUUUCUGUU
Long non-coding RNA from Myotis lucifugus (little brown bat), 922 nucleotides. RefSeq lists it as uncharacterized. Lineage: Eukaryota; Metazoa; Chordata; Mammalia; Chiroptera; Vespertilionidae. The transcript is spliced from 2 exons. The record is from RefSeq and is a predicted model, not a curated record.